Molecule: long non-coding RNA, 774 nt
Filed under: Gallus gallus (chicken)
Lineage: Eukaryota; Metazoa; Chordata; Aves; Galliformes; Phasianidae
Source: RNAcentral
CUCCCAUGAAAGCUUUAUUUACACUGCUGCUUCCAGACUGCAGCUCUUCACAAAAUCAGAGAAACAGCACCCAGUCAGUGGGUUCAAUGCAUGGUGAGGACAUGUUGAGGUUCAGGGCAGGGAGGUGGCCAUGAUCACAGCUGUGGCCAUGCUCAGGAGGGGAUGGAAGAGGGUGGUAGUGGCAAGAGUGGAGAGACCAGUGCUUAGGACUCGCCGGCCUCAAACAUCUUCUUCCUGCCCUCCAUGCCGGAUUUCUCCUCAAUGUUCUUCCUCCAGUCACCCACAUCGCGGAGGUCCUUCUUCUCCGUGUCCUCCUUCUUGACUUGCUUCAGGUUGGCCCGGAGGUCCAUGUUGACCUUGUGCUUGGAGCCCAGCAGGGCACGCAGCAUGGCAUCAGCAGACAUGCGCACCCGGCGCAGAGGUGGCCUCUUGAACUUGCCCCUCAGGUCAAACAGCUUCUGGCUCAGGUCCUCCAGCUCCUUGUUAGUCUUCUGUAGCUUCACCUCUGUGUCAUACCUUUCCUCAUCCACUGAGUCUAUCUUGGCAUGAAGCUUUUUGCACAGUUCCUGAAGUUCCUGCAUGGAUCCUGGGAGGGACAGAGGAGGGCAAUGCUCUGCCAGGUAGUUUUGCUUUUCCACUUCUUUAGCAGCUGCUUCUUUUUCUAUUUCAGUGACAGCAAGCUGGAGCAUAGCACUCUUCAGGUGCUGCCGCCGGGCGGUGGCUGCCCUCCUCUUUUUCUCUUCAUCAGACAUCUUGCUUUAGAUGGUUGUGAAC